RNAcentral lists this long non-coding RNA (588 nucleotides) under Mytilus galloprovincialis (Mediterranean mussel). Lineage: Eukaryota; Metazoa; Mollusca; Bivalvia; Mytilida; Mytilidae. The record is from RNAcentral.
UGAUAGAAAGAACAUUGUCCAAAUGUGGACAGGUGGAAGACAUCAAGUUAAAGUACUGAAUAUUAAAUAAUCAUUUGGAAUUUUCUUGUUUCAUAGAUAAUAAAAAAAUACCGUCCAUUUGGAUAAAAAACGGGAAUGCAUGACAACAGAUUAAGCCGAUAUUCUUGUUUUUCCAGUGGACGAGUCUAUUACGUUUUUGAAACGUGUGUUGAAACUUAUUUUCGUACAACGUUUUUACAUUUUUUUCUUUAUCAGUUUUCCUGCUUGAAGAUCAUAAUUCACCAAGUUUUCUGGAAUUAAUUAAGAGCUACGCGAAUCUAUUUUUCUUGUUUGUGAAAUGACGAUUUAAUUUCGUCUUUGUCCGUGUACCCCCUUUUUUACGGGACAUUAUUAGAAUGUCAUGCGAUGUUUAUGACAGCUGAGCAAUAAAAUUUCAUCGAACUAAAAUCAAAGAAAUGAUAACAAAAUAGCAUAACAAACAUAUUGGUAGAAAGGUGAAAAAUAUAUUUAUUUUGCAUAUAUUUUUUUUUCUUUUUUUUUCCCGACCGACCGACCUGACUUUUUCAUGGGGAAAAUCCGUAAACCAAC